Molecule: ribosomal RNA, 568 nt
Filed under: uncultured Cenococcum
Lineage: Eukaryota; Fungi; Ascomycota; Dothideomycetes; Gloniales; Gloniaceae
Description: eukaryotic LSU rRNA
Rfam family: 5.8S ribosomal RNA (bases 208-361)
Source: RNAcentral
CUUGGUCAUUUAGAGGAAGUAAAAGUCGUAACAAGGUUUCCGUAGGUGAACUGCGGAAGGAUCAUUACAGAAAGUAAACGCGGGUCAAACCGCGAACUUCUAAACCUUUGACGAUUGACUCAUGUUGCCUCGGCGGGUUCGCCCGCCAGAGGAUACAUCAAAACUCCUGUUUUAACGGUGUUGUCUGAGCUACAAGCAACGAAUCAAAACUUUCAACAACGGAUCUCUUGGUUCUGGCAUCGAUGAAGAACGCAGCGAAAUGCGAUAAGUAGUGUGAAUUGCAGAAUUCAGUGAAUCAUCGAAUCUUUGAACGCACAUUGCGCCCCUUGGUAUCCCGAGGGGCAUGCCUGUUCGAGCGUCAUUUCACCACUCAAGCCUGGCUUGGUGUUGGGCGACGUCCCUUUGGGACACGCCUCGAAACGCUCGGCGGCGUGGCACCGGCUUUAAGCGUAGCAGAAUCUUUCGCUUUAAAAGUCGGGGCCCCGUCUGCCGGAAGACCUACUCGCAAGGUUGACCUCGGAUCAGGUAGGGAUACCCGCUGAACUUAAGCAUAUCAAUAAGCGGAGGA